UACGUAGGGUGCAAGCGUUAAUCGGAAUUACUGGGCGUAAAGCGUGCGCAGGCGGUUUUGUAAGUCUGACGUGAAAUCCCCGGGCUCAACCUGGGAAUUGCGUUGGAGACUGCAAGGCUGGAGUCUGGCAGAGGGGGGUAGAAUUCCACGUGUAGCAGUGAAAUGCGUAGAGAUGUGGAGGAACACCGAUGGCGAAGGCAGCCCCCUGGGUCAAGACUGACGCUCAUGCACGAAAGCGUGGGGAGUAAACAGG
This 253-nucleotide ribosomal RNA is filed under the name uncultured bacterium. Its description in RNAcentral is "partial 16S ribosomal RNA". It matches the Rfam family "Bacterial small subunit ribosomal RNA", at positions 524 to 776 of the family's 1533-position model. The record is from RNAcentral.